AAUGAACGCUGGCGGCAGGCCUAAAACAUGCAAGUCGAGCGCCCCAGCAAUAGGGAGCGGCGCACGGGUGAGUAACACGUGGGAAUAUGCCUUUUGGUACGGAACAACGUUUGGAAACGAACGCUAAUGCCGUAUGGUCCCUUCGGGGUAAAGAUUUAUCGCCAAAAGAUUAGCCCGCGUUGGAUUAGCUAGUUGGUAGGGUAAUGGCCUACCAAGGCGACGAUCCAUAGCUGGUCUGAGAGGACGAUCAGCUACACUGGGACUGAGACACGGCCCAGACUCCUACGGGAGGCAGCAGUUAGGAAUAUUGAACAAUGGGCGCAAGCCUGAUCCAGCCAUGCCGCGUGAGUGAUGAAGGCCUUCGGGUUGUAAAGCUCUUUAGCCGAUGAUUAUAAUGACUGUAGUCGGAAAAUAAGCCCCGGCUAACUUCGUGCCAGCCGCCGCGGUAA
RNAcentral lists this ribosomal RNA (449 nucleotides) under uncultured bacterium. RNAcentral describes it as "partial 16S ribosomal RNA". It matches the Rfam family "Bacterial small subunit ribosomal RNA", at positions 29 to 523 of the family's 1533-position model. The record is from RNAcentral.